GGUUAUAAGCAUCCCGUUCCUCUGCUACAGGAAAGAAGAGCGGCGACUCUAGAGCGAUUCCGAGUCCGAGACCGAUUCCGCCGGUUUCCCUUCUUCUCCGGCGACCUUCGGCGUUGGAGAUGAAGGGAAGCUGGGGAAUCAACCGCUGGUUGUAUAUACUACCUAGUAGAGUAGAUCUAGGGGUACAUUGGUUUUCUCCUAUGGUGAUUUCCUCCACGGCGUUCCGUAGGUCGGCCAGGUUAGUUGCUCUGGGAUUUGGGUUGGAUUUCUUCCCGGUGCAGAGUUCGUCAGGAAUCUUUUGCUUCCUCCAUGCUUUUUCUGGUGACUAUGUUGGUGGUGAUCGGAGUUUGGCGGUGCAUGUGGGGCGUCUUGGACAUGAAUUGUUUUAUGCGGAUGGUUCAACAUUGAUGACGCUUUCUUUGAUGUUUUCUUCUGCGUCGGUGCUCGAAUCCGGCGUGAGCUUAUCUGCGCCGGAUGUGUCCAAGGUGUCUGCAGUAUCACCGGGUUUGCAACCACCGAUAUGGCUGCUGGAGGUCGGGGGAUUGUUUUGUCCCUCCGAAGUGGUUCAGAUGGUCUUGUUGUCCUCUGUGACUGCUUUGUGAGGUUUGUUCUCCACCUGCUCGUAUGUUCGAGUUGGUGUUCUUCAGUUCCCGUUGCGGGAUUGCUGCUUGUCGACUGGGUGGUACCGGUGAGGCCACCAACGACUGAGCCUGGUGAAUGCAUGGACCGUUCGGGAGGUUCAACGGAUAAAUGGCAUGCUUAUUCUAGUGCGCUACUAAUGGGCUUUGAAGAUCUUUUCGUCGUUUCGGGUUCCGGCCGUGAGUUUCAUCCUGGGUUCUUCUUCAUUACGGGAGAUGGAGAAGGCUCGGCCUGCGGCAGCGAGGUCGGUGGCGGCGAGGAUCGUUGGUGCUCCUUCAAAAGGGUAGAAGGGCCCUGGGCAGGGGCGGUGUUGUUGGCAGCAGCGGUGGCGGAGGACAAUAUGUCUCCUUCUCAUCCACUACCAAUUCGUAUGCAGUGGCGGUCAAGCUGGUGGCGCCAUUCAUAUAGUCACCAGCUACACCAAUAUGGUGCCUACAUGGUGUUCAACGAAAUGCCAAAAUUGUGACCAUCAAUUUCAAGUUCGAGGUGCUGAUUAAGUGCUAGCCAGAAGUCCUCGACCACACCAGUAGCAUGGAGAUGCUUGGCCAUCACAACUCUGCAGCCUGAUUUCGCCCCGACACUUGCUAUGCUUGACAUGUGGACAACCAUGAACAUCUGGCAUCACAAUCCCAGCGCCCAUCAGGAACUUGUCACCCCAGCCCUCUCUCGAAAUUGGUCCUUCUGCAGUCUACUCGUAGACCAUCUUCUCUUGUGGGGUUUAUCUGCUCUACUGCUAUGAUUUGGUCUGCUGCUAUGUCUGAUUUGUAUCCUAUUUUCUUUGUUGGUUCAAUGGGAUUAGAUUGGGUUGAGGUGGCACAGUCAACAUCUGGAGGAGUUGCUGCCGGAGCAACAGAAGCUCGGGCCCUUCAUGCAGGUGGUGCUUCCAAUCUGAGGCAGACUGUUGAAUCAAGAGAAACUUGGCAUCAACAGUCUUGGGAUCAUACUCAGUAAAGUUAAUCAUUAGAGUUGAUGAUGCAUCAGGAACAACUGUUAGAUGACAUGGCUAAAGGUACUAUUACAUAUAAAGAAGCAAAGUAGGGUGAAUGAAUGUUCACAGAUGAAAGUGAGCUCAAAUAGGGUGAAAAGAGAGCUGUGACAUCAAUUGUUGAACUUGUCAGCUCAACAGCACUGUCAUCAGUCAUCACUGGUUAAGCCAAAACAAAAGCUGAUGUUCAAAUGAGUUUGCAGGGGUCGAUGAUGUUCUAGCACAAAUCAAUAUAAAUGCUAAGGUUGCAAUAUUCGAUUGAGGUUUUAUGGCCUCAUGGGCACAUGUAUGAAUGGUGAAGUUCAAAGAUGAAAUCUACAAGAUGGAAAGAAAAUUCUACCGAGAUAAUGAAUUUAGAUGGCCAUUGUGCAAGCAUGCAUGCGCGAUCUAUCUGUACUGAACUAGUUAUUUUUUCUAUUUGUACCAACUACCAAAAGGCAAGACCGAGGUCAGAUUACUUGAAUCAUUUAAAGGCAUUGCAGAAGAUUAAAUUGCUUAUGCUA
Long non-coding RNA from Panicum hallii, 2127 nucleotides. RefSeq lists it as uncharacterized. NCBI's taxonomy places the organism in Eukaryota, Viridiplantae, Streptophyta, Magnoliopsida, Poales, Poaceae. The transcript is spliced from 3 exons. The record is from RefSeq and is a predicted model, not a curated record.